ACGCUUCAGCAGCAAAUAUGCUAAAGUUGGAAUGAUUCAGAGAAGAUUAGCACGGCCCCGUGCAAGGAUGAAGGGCUAAUUCGUGAAGCGUUCCAUAUUUUA
Molecule: small nuclear RNA, 102 nt
Organism: Fukomys damarensis (Damara mole-rat)
Lineage: Eukaryota; Metazoa; Chordata; Mammalia; Rodentia; Bathyergidae
Source: Ensembl